RNAcentral lists this ribosomal RNA (439 nucleotides) under uncultured bacterium. Its description in RNAcentral is "bacterial SSU rRNA". It matches the Rfam family "Bacterial small subunit ribosomal RNA", at positions 958 to 1397 of the family's 1533-position model. The record is from RNAcentral.
AACGCGAAGAACCUUACCCAGGCUUGACAUGCAGUGGACAGUGGUGGAAACACCAUCUCUCUUCGGAGCCGCUGCACAGGUGCUGCAUGGCUGUCGUCAGCUCGUGUCGUGAGAUGUUGGGUUAAGUCCCGCAACGAGCGCAACCCUUAUCCCUAGUUGCCAUCGGGUCAAGCCGGGCACUCUAGUGAAACCGCCCAGGAUAACUGGGAGGAAGGUGGGGAUGACGUCAAGUCCUCAUGGCCUUUAUGUCCAGGGCUACACACGUGCUACAAUGGUCGGUACAAACCGUCGCAAACCCGCGAGGGGGAGCUAAUCGGAAAAAGCCGGCCUCAGUUCGGAUUGGAGUCUGCAACCCGACUCCAUGAAGCUGGAAUCGCUAGUAAUCGCGGAUCAGAACGCCGCGGUGAAUACGUUCCCGGGCCUUGUACACACCGAUAGC